Molecule: non-coding RNA, 515 nt
Organism: Nerophis lumbriciformis (worm pipefish)
Lineage: Eukaryota; Metazoa; Chordata; Actinopteri; Syngnathiformes; Syngnathidae
Source: RefSeq, a predicted model, not a curated record
CUUGAACUGGACGUAACAGCCUCUUAUUAAAGUAGAAGAAGAAGUAUUUCCGUGUUAGCUUAAAAGAGGAAAGUUAGCUGCGAAGAAUCUUUUCUUGUUUUGGUUUUUUCUUCUCUUAAUCAGGAUGAGCGCGAGUCCAAAAGAAGAAGAAGAAGAAAGUUACGAGCAAAUGUUUGCAAAAAGAUUCUCUGCUGAGGACUUAGAGUUCCAACAAUACGUGCAAAGAGAUGCUGAUAAACCUCCCAUUGUGGAGGGAUGGAGGAGCAGAGGAGGAGGAAGAGACAGAAGGUUCCAGAACCGCCAAGGAGGAGGAGGAGGAGGAGGAGAAGGAAGAGGAGGAGGAGGAUGGCAUCAGAGGAAGGAACAUGGCGGACAUCAUCAUCAUCACAGAGCACGUUAUGAUCCAUACUGAUGUCUACUUCUGAUAUUUCAUCUUGAUGUCCAGUAUUGACGAUGAUGUCAUCCUUCACUCCACCAUCUGACAUAUUUUCACAAUAAAACAUUUGUUGUUCUUG